GCAAACUUGGUCAUUUAGAGGAAGUAAAAGUCGUAACAAGGUUUCCGUAGGUGAACCUGCGGAAGGAUCAUUACUGAGUUGGGUGCUUCUUGCACCAAACUUUUUCACCCUUGCGAAUCAAUUAUUUUGCUUGGUGGGCCAGGUUUGCCCCGCUAAUUUCCCAGCGAGUGCCCGCCAAAGUUUUUUUCAAAAAAUCUGCUGAAACGUGUGAUCUGAAUGCAAAAUAUAAAAAACUUAAAAAACUUUCAACAACGGAUCUCUUGGUUCUGGCAUCGAUGAAGAACGCAGC
Molecule: unclassified non-coding RNA, 289 nt
Filed under: uncultured fungus
Lineage: Eukaryota; Fungi
Description: partial contains small subunit ribosomal RNA, internal transcribed spacer 1, and 5.8S ribosomal RNA
Rfam family: Eukaryotic small subunit ribosomal RNA (bases 1-73)
Source: RNAcentral